UCGGAUUUUCGAGAAUCAAAUGUCUUAGUUGUUACUCGGUGUGCCGGUCUUGAAGCUCCUCUUAGAAACCGAGAGGGGGGAGACUGCAAAGCAGAGAAGUAUCACGGUGCCCCAUGAGGCUUAAGCAGUACAGUAAUCAAUGCCCCGCGACAGUAUCGUCUUGGUCUCUUUUAAAGACUCUUCUCGUCGAUAGGCUCAAAAUCGGCAGGUCUAUAUAUGAAAGCAUUACAGCCCUUGACCAAAAACAUGUAGAAAUGUUCUCUCAAUCUACCAAAACUUACUAAACACCUUACUCUGCCAUCAGAACACAUAUAGAAAGAUAAAUAGUCAGUCUACUGCCAAACUUCAAAACAACAAAACCAGAAUAAACAACACUCUAUAUAGUUAUUAUCCAGCUAUUAAAAAAAGUUCAUUUUUUGUCCUUCUAUUUUAUAAAACUAGCAAGUUUAUCCCUCUCUUGUACGCUUCCUC
This 471-nucleotide long non-coding RNA is filed under the name Linum usitatissimum (flax). RNAcentral's name for it is "long non-coding RNA (LUSI_LNC002088)". The record is from RNAcentral. Lineage: Eukaryota; Viridiplantae; Streptophyta; Magnoliopsida; Malpighiales; Linaceae.